RNAcentral lists this ribosomal RNA (527 nucleotides) under uncultured bacterium. Its description in RNAcentral is "bacterial SSU rRNA". It matches the Rfam family "Bacterial small subunit ribosomal RNA", at positions 355 to 895 of the family's 1533-position model. The record is from RNAcentral.
UGGGGAAUCUUGCACAAUGGGCGAAAGCCUGAUGCAGCAACGCCGCGUGCGGGAAGACAGCCCUAGGGUUGUAAACCGCUUUCAGCAGGGAAGAAACUGACGGUACCUGCAGAAGAAGAUGCGGCCAACUACGUGCCAGCAGCCGCGGUGACACGUAGGCAUCAAGCGUUAUCCGGAUUUAUUGGGCGUAAAGAGCUCGUAGGCGGUUCGGUAAGUCGGGUGUGAAAACUCUGGGCUCAACCCAGAGAGGCCACUCGAUACUGCUGUGACUAGAGUGCGGUAGGGGAGCGGGGAAUUCCUGGUGUAGCGGUGAAAUGCGCAGAUAUCAGGAGGAACACCAGUGGCGAAGGCGCCGCUCUGGGCCGUAACUGACGCUGAGGAGCGAAAAGCAUGGGUAGCAAACAGGAUUAGAUACCCUGGUAGUCCAUGCCGUAAAACGUUGGGCACUAGGUGUGGGUCUCAACCGAACGAGAUCCGCGCCGUCGCUAACGCAUUAAGUGCCCGCCUGGGAGUACGGUCGCAAGACU